AUGUUUGGAGCCCUUGAAGUCCUAAAGAUGAAUAAGGAGGGUGUCCUCAAAUUUCUUGGUACAGAAACCCACUUAGGUAGCACCAACCUUGACUUUCAUAUGGAAUAGUAAUUUUACUAAAAGAAAAGUGAUCUAUGUCUUAAUCUGAAGAGGACCUGGGAGAAGCUGUUGCUUGCAUGCAGGUCCUGCUAUUGUCCUUGAUAAUCCUGCUGAUGUCAUUUCCAGAAACACUGGCCAGCCAGUGAGCUGUGCUGAAGCUUUCUGCUGCCACAGGAGUCACUUUCAUUGCUGGUCUCUUCAUACCUGGAACCCUCACUAACCAGAUCCAAGCAGCCUUCAGGGAGCCACAGCUUCUAGUGGGGACUGAUCCCAGGAUUAACCACCUCUUAUGUCAACCUGCUCACCUUGCUCUAUGUAACACAGAUUCUCUCCUACGCACCAUGUGAGCAUUGCCAUCUCGUGCAGCAACAAGGGAGCUCACUCAGUGGGUCUGAUGUGGUGGAUCUUGGUCCAGAAGUACUCUGCAUUAGAGGUACUAUCUCCCGUGACCACCCAUGGGAGGCUAUGCCUGAUCUUUACUUUUACAGAGACCCAGAGGAAGUUGAGAAGGCUGCUGCUGAAAAGGCUGUGGUGAAGGGUGAAUGGAUGGACCAGCUCCUGAGUUCACUGCUGCUCAGCCUGACAUGGCUGACUGGUUUGAGAGUGUGCAGGUACCUUCUGUGCCUAUCUAGCAGCCCCACCCCCAUGGAAAACUAGAGUUCCCUGCCAACCACUGAGGACAGGUCAGCAGCUUCCACAGCUCGGGCCACUGAGUGGGUUCGAGCCACCACUGGGUGGUCCUGA
Molecule: long non-coding RNA, 843 nt
Filed under: Mus musculus (house mouse)
Lineage: Eukaryota; Metazoa; Chordata; Mammalia; Rodentia; Muridae
Description: long non-coding RNA chrX:61480452-61481295
Source: RNAcentral